CCCUUAGUAACGGCGAGUGAACAGGGAUUAGCCCAGCACCGAAGCCUGUAGCUAUUUGGCUGCUAGGCAAUGUGGUGUUGAGAUUGAUUUUUGGCAUUUCUGCUUCAUCCUAAGUCCAUUAAUGAGUACGGCUAAUGGACCGGCCCAAAGAGGGUGAAAGGCCCGUGUGGAUGAAGAUCAAGUGUGACAGAAGUGCUUUGAAUUGAUCUUGGAGUCGGGUUGUUUGUGAAUGCAGCCCAAAGUGGGUGGUAGACUCCAUCCAAGGCUAAAUACUGGCACGAAUCCGAUAGCAAACAAGUACCGUGAGGGAAAGUUGAAAAGUACUUUGAAGAGAGAGUAAACAGUGCGUGAAACCGCUCAGAGGUAAACGGGUGGAGUUGAACUGGAAUCCUUGGGAAUUUAACUGAUGAGUGUAGUUUGUGCUUGGGCAUAUUGGCCAGCAUUCGGGGUUUGCUCAAUUGCAGGCCUUGGCUCUUUGGAGCUUGGGUGCACGAGUCACUUAUCAUGUGUUGUGUGCCUCGAAUGUGUAUUGGGCUUGCUUGUCAGUGCAUUUUCUCAGGGUGAUCACCACGACCGGCGUGGUUGCCUGUCUGCUACGGUUAAACCGAUCAGAUUUGGUUAUGUUGACUGGAUUUGGUCGGGACGGCAGGUAGCUUGUUGGCUUUCAAGCUGGCAAGUGUUAUUAGCUGACCGUAAUAGGUUUGUGCAAUAUGUCGGAGAUGACGGCUUUAUUCACGCUGACUGGCAGAAAUAGUGUUGGGUUUGAUUGGCAGUAUACUUGUCUAUUGCAGGUCUGUCAGUAGCUCAAUGGUGUUUGUCAGCAGUUUGUGUGUAUAACGUGAUUUGAGCCUACAGUCUGUGGUGUAGUGGUAGACUAUCCACCCGACCCGUCUUGAAACACGGACCAAGGAGUGUAACAUGUGCGCGAGUCGUUGGGCGUUACGAAACCCAAAGGCGCAGUGAAAGUAAAGGUUCGACUUGUGUCGGACUGAGGUGAGAUCCUGUUGUACUCAUUUAAUAUUAUCAAGCAUUGAUGCAAUGGGCGCAUCACCAGCCCGUCUCAUGGUGUAGUCAUGGAGCUUUGCUCUGUGCGUCAUCGGGGCGGAGCUAGAGCGUACAUGUUGUGACCCGAAAGAUGGUGAACUAUGCUUGCGCAGGUUGAAGCCAGAGGAAACUCUGGUGGAGGACCGCAGCGAUUCUGACGUGCAAAUCGAUCGUCAAACGUGAGUAUAGGGGCGAAAGACUAAUCGAACCAUCUAGUAGCUGGUUCCCUCCGAAGUUUCCCUCAGGAUAGCUGGCAUUCGGAGUAUUAUUAAACAGUUUUAUCCGGUAAAGCGAAUGAUUAGAGGUAUUGGGGAUAAAACAUCCUCAACCUAUUCUCAAACUAUAAAUGGGUGAGAAGCUUUGCUCGUUUGACUAGAGUGAAGCGUUGAAUGUGAGUGCCAAGUGGGCCAUUUUUGGUAAGCAGAACUGGCGCUGUGGGAUGAACCAAACGCUUGGUUAAGGUGCCUAACACGACGCUCAUGAGAUACCACAAAAGGUGUUGGUUGGUAUAGACAGCAGGACGGUGGCCAUGGAAGUCGGAAACCGCUAAGGAGUGUGUAACAACUCACCUGCCGAAUCAACCAGCCCUGAAAAUGGAUGGCGCUGGAGCGUUGGACCUAUACCGGGCCGUUGCCGCAUGUUGAACUAAUAAAGUGUUUGAAGUUCAAGCAUGGAGAGCGGUAACGAGUAGGAGGGUCGCUGUGGUGAGCGGGAAGCCUCGGACGUGAGUCUGGGUGGAGCCGCCACAGGUGCAGAUCUUGGUGGUAGUAGCAAAUAUUCAAGUGAGAACCUUGAAGGCCGAAGUGGAGAAGGGUUCCAUGGGAACAGUGUUUGGCCAUGGGUCAGGCGGUCCUAAGCGAUCCGGUAAAUCGGAACAGAGACGGGGUGCCUGACAUUGUCCGUUGAUGGGCUUUGUUCAGAGUUUGCUGCUCAUGAGAUGAACUGAUUAACCAAAAUGCGCAGCCCCCUGUAGCGAAAGGGAAUCGGGUUAAUAUUCCCGUCCCUGCCCACGGAGAUUGGUGCACGUUUGACUUUCGGGUUGAGUGUGUGCCUAGCGCGGUAACGCAACCGACCUCGGAGACGUUGGCGAGAGUUCUGGGAAGAGUUCUCUUUUCUUUGUUAGGAGUGCAUCCACCCCCUGGAAUCGGUUUGUCCGGAGAUAGGGGUCUAGCCUCCGUAAAGCACCACCUUCCUUGUGGUGUCCGGAACACUCUUGUCGGCCCUUGAAAAUCCGAGCAAGGCAAUAUAAUUUUCGUGGCAGGCCGUACCCAUAUCCGCAUCAGGUCUCCAAGGUGAACAGCCUUGUUGUAAAUGGCAAUGUUUGAAUCUGGAUGUGAUGUGUGACCCGUUCUGAAGACCAUGUCAGGCGGGGAGUUUGACUGGGGCGGUACAUCCGUCAAAUGGUAACGCGGGUGUCNUAAGGUGAGCUCAGCCAGGACGGAAACCUGGCAUAGAGUAAAAGGGCAAAAGCUCACUUGAUUUUGAUUUUCAGUACGAAUACAGACCGUGAAAGCGUGGCCUAUCGAUCCUUUUGAUUGUUAUAUUCGGAGUUUGAAGCAAGAGGUGUCAGAAAAGUUACCACAGGGAUAACUGGCUUGUGGCAGCCAAGCGUUCAUAGCGACGUUGCUUUUUGAUCCUUCGAUGUCGGCUCUUCCUAUCAUUGUGAAGCAGAAUUCACCAAGCGUUGGAUUGUUCACCCACUAAUAGGGAACGUGAGCUGGGUUUAGACCGUCGUGAGACAGGUUAGUUUUACCCUACUAAUGAGUAAACUGAUUGAAGCAGUGCAAUUCAGCCGUUGUUAUGGUAAUCCUGUUUAGUACGAGAGGAACAACAGGUUCAGACAAUUGGUAUAUGUGCUUG
Molecule: ribosomal RNA, 2904 nt
Filed under: Cardallagium anthicum
Lineage: Eukaryota; Metazoa; Platyhelminthes; Trematoda; Strigeidida; Aporocotylidae
Description: partial 28S ribosomal RNA
Rfam family: Eukaryotic large subunit ribosomal RNA
Source: RNAcentral